UUGCAGUUGUACGUGGGCUAACACAUGGCAGAGCAGCCCAGCUCUGACAGCCUGAGAGCGGAGAGAGAGAGAGAGAGAAUGAAGAGAAGGGAGGGGGAAAGAGAGAGAAUGAUAGCAUGAUAGAAAGCGAGAGAAUCGGAGAGUUAAAGAGAGAGAGAGACAUCGAGAGGGCCAGUGAAUGGUAACACAGGAUCAACCCUCAGCCAACGCAUCAGCAGAAGAUAACCGGAUCAUAAUGGAGGAAAAAACCCUGCUGCGAGAGAGACUACAGGCUAUAACAGUGAGUAUCAGGCUGUUAAAAAUAAUGCUGCAAAGUCUCCCUCUCAAAUAGAUUAUUAGUUCU
Molecule: long non-coding RNA, 343 nt
Filed under: Sinocyclocheilus grahami
Lineage: Eukaryota; Metazoa; Chordata; Actinopteri; Cypriniformes; Cyprinidae
Description: lncRNA (ENSSGRG00000049915.1)
Source: RNAcentral